UGAUAGUGACUUUUUCCUGUUGACUUCUGUGUGGCCGAGUCAAACCAAAAUAUACAGGACUUCACUUUUUCACAGAAGUGUGAAUCUGUUUGCAUCAGCAGAACUGUUCCUGGUUUACAAGAGGAAAAGUGAGAAUCUGGCAGGAGAAUCAACCAGAAAAGAUGUCUAGAAGUACAACAAACAUCUGACAUAUUGAAGGGAAAGAGAAGAGAAUGCAAAGAAAUCCAUGACUAUGUCUCUGAGUGAAUAAUCAGACUAUGAGUUUCUUUGAGGAAACUGAAAAUGAGGAAAUGUCAUCACAGUUUACUUCUUGGGCCAGGAACCCUACAGAUCUCCUCUACUGGAAAACAUGAACUCUUCGGUGAUAGAUGGACCCCUGAAGCCCUGGCAAUGCCAGGCAGCUGUGCCAAAUCAAUGAUCAAACUUGAGCAGGGGCAGGAGCAAUGCAACUGCACAGGGCACCUAUUUCACAGAGCAGGUGAAAGAGCAGAAGAAAGUCAAAUCUAGCAGAGAUUUCAAAGAGGAUGAAGAAUUGAUUCUGUCCACUGUGGAUGCAAACCUA
This 562-nucleotide long non-coding RNA is filed under the name Gallus gallus (chicken). Its description in RNAcentral is "lncRNA (ENSGALG00010014352.1)". The record is from RNAcentral. Lineage: Eukaryota; Metazoa; Chordata; Aves; Galliformes; Phasianidae.